AACCNANNCUAAUACCGGAUAGGAUCUUCUCCUUCAUGGGAAAUGAUUGAAAGAUGGUUUCGGCUAUCACUUACAGAUGGGCCCGCGGUGCAUUAGCUAGUUGGUGAGGUAACGGCUCACCAAGGCAACGAUGCAUAGCCGACCUGAGAGGGUGAUCGGCCACACUGGGACUGAGACACGGCCCAGACUCCUACGGGAGGCAGCAAUAGGGAAUCUUCCGCAAUGGACGAAAGUCUGACGGAGCAACGCCGCGUGAGUGAUGAAGGCUUUCGGGUCGUAAAACUCUGUUGUUAGAGAAGAACAAGUACGAGAGUAACUGCUCGUACCUUGACGGUACCUAACCAGAAAGCCACGGCUAACUACGUGCCAGCAGCCGCGGUAAUACGUAGGUGGCAAGCGUUAUCCGGAUUAUUGGGCGUAAAGCGCGCGCAGGCGGUUUCUUAGGUCUGAUGUGAAAGCCCACGGCUCA
RNAcentral lists this ribosomal RNA (469 nucleotides) under Priestia megaterium. Its description in RNAcentral is "bacterial SSU rRNA". It matches the Rfam family "Bacterial small subunit ribosomal RNA", at positions 155 to 611 of the family's 1533-position model. Lineage: Bacteria; Bacillati; Bacillota; Bacilli; Caryophanales; Bacillaceae. The record is from RNAcentral.